AUUCUAUGUAUAAUGUAUGAAUUAAUAAUUAUGAUGAUGCUUAUUGCUUGAUCCAUGAUAGGCCUAAUUCAGUCUCAGUGGUCUACUCACCCUACUUAUAGUUAUAAAUAAAUUAUAUACAGGACUCAGAGUCAGAAAUUACCUAAGAUUAGAAGAGCCUAAAAAAUGUCCCUUAUUAGUUAUUUCAGUUAUUUGCCAGUUGCCACUAAGAGUCUGCCUAAAGUAACCAGUAGCACUAGCAGUAGGCACUUGAUUAGGCAGUACUGUAACCACCCUUCAUUCUUCACUAUUUGGACAUGGAGACCUAGAGGCUAGAUCAGCAACUAGCUAAAGGCUUCAGCAUUCAGAUUCAGCCUUCAGUCUUCAGAGCUUUUGGAAAAACUUAAUUUAAUACUGUCUUCAUAGUUCAUACUACAUUAUUACUACUGCUAAAAAAAUUGGAUUUAUAAGAUUUUGGGUCUUACCAUCUUACUACCAUGAACCAUCUGGUGGCUGUGGGAAGGGAAGAUUCAUAGAUCAUUUGGCCAUGGCAUGGAAUGACUUGUGUUUUGAACUUACAACUCUUAAUAGAGAUUAGUCUACUCAUACUGAGUCCCACUGUGGAAUUUUGUAUACCAGUAGGUAAUAAAUAUACAUUGCUACAUGUAAUGAUGUAGGUAUCUAUAAAUAUAUACCUAUAGCAAAAUAAAUCAGAAGGCCUAUUUGCCUAUGUAUCACUUUAUUGCUUGAUUUGCAGUUGCAGGUAACUGAGGAGUUAGCCCUACAUUGUUCAUCAAAAUGGGAAAGAAAGACCAAAUGACUCAGGCUCCUCCUGUUGCUAAGUAUAGGAAAGAGAUUGGUUUUCAAAAUAAGAAGCAGGGCUCAGAUGUUGUCAAAAUGGCACGCCUACAAACCAAUAUGAAGACAGCAAAAGUCAAAAUGCAUCAGGAAUUCCGCUUAGUAGUGGCAGCAUCAGUGACAGGUGUGGCUGCCCUGUAUGCACUCCUCUACCUCUGGCUCCAUUGACUGCACUUUAGGGAAAUUUGCAAGCUAGAAAAACCUGUACAUCUAUACUUUUUAUAACUAUUUGAAUAUAUAAUUCGUGGUCUUGAAGUGAAGCAUGUUAUUAUGAAUCAGCAUAAAUCACAUUCUGAUAUUUAUAAAAAUUUCAUAAAAAUAAUUAACAGGUUGCAAAAAUUUGUUGAAAGGUCUAGAUGAAAUCAAUUUGUCACAAAUAUGUCAUGGAAGUUUAAUUAUAUGAUUUAGUUUACUAUUAAUUUUCACGCAAGUUUUACACGUUUUGUGUUCUGUUAUUGUAAUUAAACACAUUUAUUCCUAAUAUAAGUACUUGUGGAAGACAACUAAGUUUUUACAAUUCUAAAAGGUGUUCGGUUAUAUAUGUAUCCCAAUGUAUCCCAUUUGUUUAUUUUCAAAACAGCAUUUCUGAAUGAAAAUUGCACACUCAAUGAAGUCUGUAUCGUAGUUCUUACUUGGCUUGGUAUUUUCUAACAUUUAUUUAAUACUUUCAUCUUUAUAAGAUGUACGGUAUCAUUCCAUUAUUGUUGAUGGUUCGGCUUUCUGCUUGGUCUAUCAAUUUAUCUAUUCUGUUUAAACAUUAAUACAGAUUUUUGGAAGUCAUUUCAAACAUCACAAAUUCAAAACAAUCGUGUUUGGAUGAAAGAGCUCUUGAUUUGCAUUAUUGUUUUUCAGUGAUCAAAUUGCUAGUCAGUUUUCAACAAUAUGAAUAUGAAUAAUUUUUUCUACUGAUUAUUGUCGAUAGAGAGUGAUCUUGCAUAGUGGGCAUUAAUUACUUGUAUGCAAUGCCGUUUUUUGCGAAAAUAAUUUGUAUCAGGAUAGAUUUUGCAGCUGUGAUCAACUUAUUGUAUCUCAAUUUUUUUUAAACUAAUUUUUUUUUGUCCCAAGAGGUUAUUAGUUCAUCCUGCCUUUUUUUGUGCUUUUGUCUUAAGUGGUUAGUUCAUCCUGUUUUUUUUUUCGGCUGGAUGUUGGCUUUUUGCAUAUGCUUAAAGCUACUUCCAAACAGCCCACAUGUGAUCUAUGCAACUUUCAUAAUCAUUGUAAGGGAGGUAAGAUGAAAUUCAUUCCAUGUAAACAAUUGUACCAAAUAAUGGUGUUCUCAAGUGUUUGGAGCAUACAGCAAUAGAAAUGCUAAACUUUUUCAGGAAAAUGUAUAAAUUAUUUUGAUUUGCUUUAGUUUGUGUUUCAGAUAGUAUAUCAGAUAGUAUCAUCUGUCAGGUUACUAGACUUUUGACUUGUCAGGUUUGAAAAAGAGUACCUGUAUAAUAUGGCUCUUGCUCUGCAUUGUUUGGAUUGCCCUGCCGUUACCUGUCUACCAGGACAACCUGUUUGAGAUGUCAUGUGUGAGCAAAUCUUGAGUUAUGAAAUUCGAUAAUACUUCAUAAAAAUACAGCAGCUGAAAUAUUUCUCACAAUUUCCUUCACUUAAUUCAAAUCAAUAUAAAAUUGAUAUUCAUUUUUCUUAUUACAUUUCUGUGCAUAUUUUUGCUACAAGCCAUUUAUUUCAGUGCAACCUUACGAGUGACUAAGAAUAUGUCUAUAUUUUGUUGUAUUCUCGUUGUAUUCAAUUUAUUUAUUAAGAAUGAGCAGCAAAUAAGAAGGCUCAAAUUGCUCUCAAUCUGCUCCUCCCUCAGGGGUCUUAUAUGCGGGAAACGCUAGCCAUUUCUUAAAGAUCAAACUAUUUAUAAUCCGUUACUAGAGCAAGUCACUUUAUUUGUUAUUUAUUUAUUCCGAGUUUAUAAAUUAUUAAAUUUUUACUAUACCUCACUCGUCCAUUGAAUGUUAAUGUUCAGUGUCUGGUGGUUGAAUUUUUUGUUAGAUUAGUACGUACCUAUGUCAUUUAUGUGCCGUAUUUGCUCAUUGACAUGUGCGUGCAAUGUUCCUUGAAAUAAUCUCUGGUUGGAUUUCUUAAGAAAUAUUUGAUCACUGUCGAUUGAAGUUCAAAUUGUGUUUGACAAUCUUUAUAAUUUUAUUUGGUUUCCUGACAAUAGAAUUUUUUGUGACAGUGAACUCAAAUUGAAUCGUUUUCUCAAAUUACUGUGAAUAAAUAAAUGUUUUAGUUUUCGAAUAUUGCAGCUGAUCGUGAAGGAUUGCUUUGAUCACAUGCAUGUUUGAUUAUUUGUAGUCAGUCUAUUAUUUGGUUGCAUUAUUCAGGAACGCCAUACUAUAGCUUAUGGUCUCAGACUGAUGGCCUCGGUUGUGGGAUUAAUUUCAAUACUUUGGAAGGAUAGCAUAGCCCUCUUCUCUGUCUCCCUUGCUACCAAUCUCCCAUAUAAACAUUGUAUUGUAUAAGUUUCUUCGUUUUUAUUGUUGUAUGUAUCCUUAUCACAACCACGUAACUCUAAGCUUUUCUUGAGCCAGUAAAUUAAUACCAUAGAUGAAUUUGUCUUGACCAAAUUACCCCUGACGGAUUUGCUCUUCAACUGUCGUUCAAUGGAAAGUUGAAGGCAAAUUUCACACGCUACUCUGUUGAGUUGCUCUUCGACUCCGAUCGAUUUCUAUUCUCUGAUCGCAGGUUUGUGAUUAUGUUGUAUUAAUUAUGAUCAAUUUAUAAUAAUUUACGUAUUUUAUAUAAUUUUUUUUUUCAUGUAAGAUGACUAAGAUCCAAAUGAGCAUUGUACUACCUUCGCCAGUCAAUUAGGGUAAAGUUUUUUAUUCAAUGUUUCAUUGCGUAUUAUUUAUAUUAUCUCAUUUUUCUUAUUCUGUGCGAGUUAUUUGUUAUACUUAAUCUGAAUAAUAUUAAUUGAACAUCUUUUAGUUAUUUCAUUUAGGAAGUUUGUAUUCAAAUAGUUAUAUUUUCUCAUCGCGUUCAUGUAUUAACAUCUAAUUAAUUGGCAAGUCUUUUUGGAAGAGGGAAACAUUUUUAUCGUGAUAGUUAAUUCAACAGAUAAAAAAUUGGAAUUAAUAAAUUUUGUUUGUUGAAACGGCACCUUGUUGCAGUUGUAUCAUGACUUUCUGGGCUGAACUUCCUAAUUAAUUGUGAAGUACAGUAUAUCCAUCCUAUGGGGUAUAAAUAUCAAUAUUAUUAGUACUGAUCUCUAUUUUACAAAUAAUUCUACUUAAUGAUUACAAGUAUAUGUUAUAUCACUGGUUUCUAUCGUUUCAAGAGCCAAUUCAUCAAAUAUUUUGUGUUUUCUUAUGCUUAUGAUCUCACUAAAUUAAAUUUCUCUCUAGCAUAUUCCUUAUUUCAAAGAUUAUUGAUCCAGCUAUCCAUGAUAUUUUUCAAUUUUUACAUUCCGGUUAUUUCCAAACAAAUUACUACCUAUUUGCUAUUCUAACUGCAUUAAUAUUGUGCCAUGUCAGACAUUAUUGUGCAAUAAUUCUAUGUGUUUGUUGUUGAGCGGUUCAUUGCUCUAUUUUUUAUCAUGCUCAGUGAUGUAGAGGCACAAAAGGGACAAGACUGUUGUAAAAAUUUUAUUUUAGGAAAAAUAUUCGACAGAGUCACGAUUUAAUUGACGUUCUGCACAAUUUUCGCGACCUGGAUGCACAGCUCUGCGAUGCUGCAAGUCAUAUAGCUCUGCUCAACGGGCAUGUCUUACCAUGAUCUUCUGCUCAUCUGUGUGUCCUAAUCAAUCGUUUUAACAGUUGAUCAUCCAGACAGUUGAGAGUUGUGCACAAAUAUUUUAGAAUCGUACGUAGAAUCGACGCAUGCGAAUGUUAAUGAUAGAAGAGUUACUGGAGUUACUGUGUAUUCAUAUCUUAAUUUUAUUAUCAGUAAAGUCAGAUAUUAAUCAUUUGUGAGCUCUAUUUCUUAUUGAUUUCUGUUGAAUUAUUCACUUGAAUACUCGAAUACAGUAUACUUGAAUACUGUUGAAUUAUCGAGGAUUACCCGAUAUCAAUAAUUCACAUAGAUGUGUUUCUGUUAAACUGCUUGUACAUGAUUAUGCAAGCUACUGAAGCCUUCUCUACUCUAAUACAUGUAUAUGGGCAUCUUGUGUGGUAUGUCUAAGAUCACAUGAGCUGCUGUUAUAGUUUUGCUCUAUUAGGGAACCGCUUGUGUUGUUUGUAACUGAUGAUAUUAUAAUUCGUUUUUUAAGUUUUUCUCUUCAUUCUUAUUACCUUAAUACUCUUUUCAAUUUUUUACACACAUUUUAUUGCUUCAUUUGUAAUGUUCGUUGCAUUUUAUGUGGUUUGUGUACUUGAACCCAAAUCUGUAACCUAUUUUUAUACUGCAUGUAAUUAAAAUCUUGAAAUGAACACA
This is a long non-coding RNA of Hyalella azteca, 5214 nucleotides long. RefSeq lists it as uncharacterized. Lineage: Eukaryota; Metazoa; Arthropoda; Malacostraca; Amphipoda; Hyalellidae. The record is from RefSeq and is a predicted model, not a curated record. The transcript has 4 exons.